AGAGCCUUCCUCCAUCCCCCUCGGUCACUCUUUCCGGUGGCAAAACUUCAUCGUCCCGAGGAAGUGAAAUCCUUCUCACUGAAGCUAGGCAUUGUGGCAGUGGGCAUCAAGUGGUUGAGACGGAAUCAUGGCAGCCAAUGAGGUCACAGGAAUUGGUCGUUGGUGGUGAGCCGCUACUGGAUUGCAUUGUCGAGUUGCAGAAGAUGUGGAAGACACAGCCACGCGUUCACACUGAGGACACAUGGUGAGGGUAGUAGGAGGAGAUAUAUUCAUGUAAAACUGUGGGGAAAGUUUCAGUGCUCUCAGCUCGUUCACCUCCUUCGUCAAUCGCCUGUUUUCCGCUGUCAGAUUUUCGCAGCAACGCCUCAGAUACUCGCAAUCUACCUCCGUUUGCUUCAACUUUGUCCUGCAUCAUUUUCAAAUUGAAUGUCAUUCAAUAAUCACUCAAGAACAUUACGUAAAUGAUGAACAAUUACACAGAAAAUGUGUAUAUGCUUCUCUGCCUCAACAAAACAUAAAAUUUUCGGUUAAUGUUAGUCAGAAUGAAUGCAGUUAAUGAUUGGGUGAUGCUACAUGUAUACUUUCCGUGUGAAUGAUGUUUUACACCCCCUUAUAUGGAGGGAGGCCCGCAUAUAAUCUAUUAUGCAUGAGCCCCCUCCAUGUGAGGGGUAUAACCCAUUAUGUACACAAAAAGUGUACAAGUAGACCAAUCCUUAAUAAUUCAGGCAAACAUCGUUGUAAUGGAUAAUUCUAGGUUGUGCAUAUGUUUCUAUGUUCGAGACCAAACAUGCAAUUUAGUAAUUUUUUUAAAAUUGUCCUAAAAAACAGCUCAAAUUACUUUGAUUUCUAAUGAAUGCAUUGACCAUUUCUUCAACAUCUAGCGCAAGAGAAGUCAUAGUACUGAGACCUGGUGACCUAUAAAACGACUAGGCAUUUCAAAAGUGAUCGACACUCGUGCAUGAAUUACACGAUUUAUCUGUUGGGCUUGAUGGAUUUCUUAUUCUGCAAGAUAUUUUAAGCUAGUUAUUGACUUACAGUUGUUAAUUUGUUGUUAGAACUUCAAUUUUAUUUAUUUAUUUUUGUUCUUUUUAAAGCAAUAUUUAGUAGAAUAUGACGAUUUACGAUCCGAUUUACAAGACCCUCCACCUAUUCGAUUCAACAUACGAUUUUGAUAACCUGUACCAUUCUGUACUCAAAGCCCACGUAUUUAUCAGCCAUAUGGCAAUUGACACAUCCGAUAUGCCUUUCGAUUAUUGUGGAUUUUCAUCAUAUAACUCCGAUGUGCAAAAAUUGGACAGUCGUGAAAGAAUUCAUCCAAAGAUGAGGCAACUCUGAUUCAUCCUUCAUAAACUACCAUAAUUCUAUGUUAUUCAUAAGCUUCACGGUAUUUGAAAGCCUCGGUUAAUAAUAACAUAGGAUUUCAAAUGCAAAACCACCAAAGCACAAAGUACAUAAUGCAAAACAUUUCGAUCUUAAUCAACCCCCAACAAAUUUUGUGUCCACAUAGAUCUUUUUCGCCACUCUCUCGUGUGUGCUCUUAUUGAUAAUACAUAAUUAUUGAAAGCCAUGAAUCCUUUUUCGCUACUCCAUUCGAGAAGGCCCUAACUAAUCUUGUACAAUUAUCGGGGAGCCAUGGCCUAACAUUCGUUGAAUGACAAUACUACCCUCGAUAAAGCCCCAAAAAUGACUAACCUUGCCCUUCUGUUCUGAAACCACACCUCCACUUGUCUUGGUCUCAAAUUUAGCUGAUUCGCCAAAGUCAAUUUUUGCUUCUGCAAACACACAAGCACACAGUAGCAUGAAAAGCAUUACCUAUUAAUAAAACACCCUUGACCCACCAAAAAAAUUUCGAAAAUGCCACUCACCGGAGUGAGAGUGUUCUGUUCGUUGAAAGUCUCUUCAAGCACCGCUCCUUGUUCUUUAGUCAGCCGGAGUUUCUUCCUCCCCGUGGCGUCGCCACCGUCCUCAUCCACCUCCAUAGAACUCGAGGCCCUCUCCGCCUCAUUCUCUUCUCUCUCACUCCUUUUCUCACUCAAACUUGAGACUGUACUGUUUGGAGAUGAAACCAUCACUUCUUCCUCAAGGUCUGUUACAGUUAUCGGUUUAUUCAUGUCAAUCCCCCGGAGAAACGAUCUCCCCUCAACAUGCCGAUCUAAAAUAAAAGAUUAAUUUUUCAAAAAAACGUUAGAUUUGAUUUACAUGCACAAGAUAUGAUUCUGUAAACCGACUCAUAAUCUGAAAGAAAUCCAGCAUAAGCAGAUUUACUAAAAAAGAAUAUAUAAAAAAUGGAAAAAAAAAAAUAAUAAUAAAGUAAUGAACCAUUCCAAUCAGUAUUUACCCGCAGAUAAUUGAAACGGAUCAGCGGUUGGAGACUUCUGAUUCUGCCGCUGCAUGAAAGGCAAAGGAGAUUGCAACAGGCUCAAUGGAAACGGUGGUUGUGGUGGUGGUGGAGGAGCCAGCGGCGGUGGCGGUGGAUUAACAUUCUCUGGGCAUCUCAAACUCAAACUCAAACUCAAACUCAACCGUAAAUCAUCACAUUUCUGAGACAUCUUUAACCCUCUUCUCUAUUUCUAUCCUCUACCAGGUUUCAUUGCUCCUAAUCAAAAGAGCCUUCCUCCAUCCCCCUCGGUCACUCUUUCCGGUGGCAAAACUUCAUCGUCCCGAGGAAGUGAAAUCCUUCUCACUGAAGCUAGGCAUUGUGGCAGUGGGCAUCAAGUGGUUGAGACGGAAUCAUGGCAGCCAAUGAGGUCACAGGAAUUGGUCGUUGGUGGUGAGCCGCUACUGGAUUGCAUUGUCGAGUUGCAGAAGAUGUGGAAGACACAGCCACGCGUUCACACUGAGGACACAUGGUGAGGGUAGUAGGAGGAGAUAUAUUCAUGUAAAACUG
RNAcentral lists this long non-coding RNA (2887 nucleotides) under Olea europaea (common olive). RNAcentral's name for it is "long non-coding RNA (OEUR_LNC010894)". Lineage: Eukaryota; Viridiplantae; Streptophyta; Magnoliopsida; Lamiales; Oleaceae. The record is from RNAcentral.